This 1757-nucleotide long non-coding RNA is filed under the name Bos taurus (domestic cattle). RNAcentral's name for it is "long non-coding RNA NONBTAT011993". The record is from RNAcentral. Lineage: Eukaryota; Metazoa; Chordata; Mammalia; Artiodactyla; Bovidae.
GUUUUGUUUUGUUUCUGUUUUUUAAUCAUUUUCAGAUGUUAUCCAGAAAUCUGCAAGUGUACUUUUCCUGUUUUAACUCCUUCCUUUUAUCACCUGACUAUCAGGGAAGCGAGGUUGAGGCUGCCCUGACCUGACAUGUCAUGAUGUCGACUUGCUAGGUGGGGUUCGCUGGGGACGAUAACCAGUGGAAUUAUUGGUAAGAACUUUUUUUUCCUAUUUUUUUUUUUUUUUUAAUCAGUAGCGGGGCAUUAAGUGUGGGAGAAUGCCCAUGUUCUAUAAGUGGGCAUUUAUGUCAGCCUUGUAGAAGAAUAAAACUUUAACACAAGAUAAUUCUGUUCAUAGUAGGAACAUAUAAACAUAUAAAAAGUAUUUCAUACCCUUUAUUCUCAAAUUCUUAGGUUAGCAGGAAAGGCCUGCAAGUUUGAAGUAAAGUAAUGAAAUACUCAGGGUAUAUUAUAAGUGGUCAAGAUAGACUAAAUCUCUUGGAGAAACAGUAAAUUUGCUUUAUUUUAUGUGAUUUUCAGUCCCUCUGAUAUCUUCAGUAUAUUUACAUUUUAUUGGAUAGAUUAUCUUAAAAGUUUUAGCAAUUUGACAAAUAAGAGUGGGCUCAGUUUAUAGAUACAUUUGAUAUGAUGACUUUAGGUCAAGAGGAAAUUAUGUAGCUGAAAUAUUAGGACCUUUUUAUAUAGGAGAAACAGAAAUCUAAGUCUAUCAACCUGUAUUUUGUCUAAACCCCAGGAGAGCUGAUGGGAUAAGUAGAUAUUGAUAGAAUUACAGUCGAUUUUUAGGUCAUUACUAAAGAGCAAAAUCUCAUACUCAGGAGAUUCCAUGAUGCUACAGUAUAAAUUGAGGGAAUUAAUAAUUAGGUAUUUCUGAAUACCACAUAAAAAAUAAUGUUAAGCACUGGUUAAAAGUAAUUAUGAAUUUUUAUGCCUAGAACCUCCUCAGUAUUCUCAUGCCUUCUUUGUUGGUUGGGUGUAUCAGUCUAGAAAGACUCUCCUAGGUAAUAAACAUGGACUAGUCAGUGUCAUGAAUAUUAACCCGAAUCUGUAAGCUUGCUGUAGACCAGAGGUAUAUGACUACCAUGAAAUUAUACUUUAAGAACUGCAGUGAUUGCAUCAUUGUGUUAAGUGUUUCUCUUCUGACACAUUUUAUGCAUGUAUAAGUGGCAGAACAGAUGGGAGUGUAGAACUUUUAGAUUGUACUUAAUAAUGUAUCAUCCUAGGGAAGUUUUACAAUUAGCAAUAGGAACACUCUAGUAGAGCUGAAAGUUCAUAUAAGUUAAGGAAAAUGCAGUGCAAACUUGUUGGCUUUUAUACACUAACAGUAAAAUACAUUUCAUGGGAGGAGGCAUUAUGGGGGAAAACUUAAAUUUCUCAAAUAUAAAAAAGGGCUUUCAGUUUCUGUAGUAACUUUGUCAGGAUCCCAUUGCUUAUCUUGAUGUCUCAUUUUUGAUGGCUGGACAAAGGUGACUUAUCUAGCCUGUUCAGUAACAUAGAUAGAAAUGUACUUUAAUGAGUUCUGUUAUGUUUAGUAUGUUAUAAGCCUAUUUCUAUAAUUGAGUUGAAAGCUCCUGCAAACAUUACAUUGCUGAUAGCAUACAAUAAUAUGAGAAUAUUGAAAUAGGUACAUUUGCAAGACCAUUUAAUCAAUAGUUUAAUAAAAAUCAUGCUUUUGGUACAGUGUUCAGGUACUAUAACUGUGUUGGAAUAUUUGUACAAUGUUAAAUAUUUUUAAUAAAAUCUAACAUGUUCAAA